Dreissena polymorpha is the source of this 444-nucleotide long non-coding RNA. RefSeq lists it as uncharacterized. The transcript has 3 exons. The record is from RefSeq and is a predicted model, not a curated record. NCBI's taxonomy places the organism in Eukaryota, Metazoa, Mollusca, Bivalvia, Myida, Dreissenidae.
GUGAUCCACGUGCACGAAAAUUUCAAGAGUCACUAUUGAUUGACGUAUUUCUUAUGUUUUGGAGGAAAUAAUAUAUUUUCUCAGAUAUCAGUGGCUCGAAGUUGCAGUGGGACGAAACCUUCAAAAACCGGUUUGCACGUGGAACCAUGGCGCCAGAAUGAGAGAGAUAAAUGAUGGCUCAACGCACGAUAUCGGUGAAUAGAGACCAAGUGACGGUUCGUUUAUAAAUUAAAGGCAAACAAGUGAGUUCACCACAGUCCUCUUCCACCCCUGCCACUGUCUCGAUCAUGACUUCAGCAGGGCCUGUCCAGGGCGGCCAGUCGCAGAGUGUCCAAUUGAAGCAGCAGCAGUUGCAGCAGCAGCAAGCCAUCGUCGCCCAUCAGCAAGCCCAGCUGCAGUCCUCUCAGACGCAGCUGGAGCCAGAAGCUCAAGGUCAGCAGCCUA